Molecule: long non-coding RNA, 374 nt
Filed under: Anas platyrhynchos platyrhynchos (common mallard)
Lineage: Eukaryota; Metazoa; Chordata; Aves; Anseriformes; Anatidae
Description: lncRNA (ENSAPLG00000024307.1)
Source: RNAcentral
AGCAGCACAGCGUGCGCCCUUGCAUAGUAACAGGCUAUGUUCUGUGAUUUCGUCUUUCCACCAGAACAAAGCAUUUGUCUCAUCAUUCAUUGAUGUCAUUGUGAGAUACUGGUAAACCAUUUUAACCUUUGGACCUUGUUGCAACUAAAGGACCAGCUACUAGAGUCUUAGGCUGAAAAGACAGAUUUUCAAAGAGGAACUGGCAGUGACGCUUUACAGAAGGUAUCAAUAUCAUCUACCAUCAUCAGAGAUUAAGUUGUAUUAUCUAGGGAAAAGUGUAAACCACAAUUCAUUAUGUUCUAAGAUAAAGAACUGGAAGAUGUUGAAUAGAGGAAUUUGAGAAAAACCCAAGACAGAUGUUGAGAGUGUAGGCA